GACGAACGCUGGCGGCGUGCCUAAUACAUGCAAGUAGAACGCUGAAGGAGGAGCUUGCUUCUCUGGAUGAGUUGCGAACGGGUGAGUAACGCGUAGGUAACCUGCCUGGUAGCGGGGGAUAACUAUUGGAAACGAUAGCUAAUACCGCAUAACAGUAGAUAUCGCAUGAUAUCUACUUGAAGGGUGCAAUUGCAUCACUACCAGAUGGACCUGCGUUGUAUUAGCUAGUUGGUGAGGUAACGGCUCACCAAGGCGACGAUACAUAGCCGACCUGAGAGGGUGAUCGGCCACACUGGGACUGAGACACGGCCCAGACUCCUACGGGAGGCAGCAGUAGGGAAUCUUCGGCAAUGGACGGAAGUCUGACCGAGCAACGCCGCGUGAGUGAAGAAGGUUUUCGGAUCGUAAAGCUCUGUUGUAAGAGAAGAACGAGUGUGAGAGUGGAAAGUUCACACUGUGACGGUAUCUUACCAGAAAGGGACGGCUAACUACGU
RNAcentral lists this ribosomal RNA (494 nucleotides) under uncultured bacterium. Its description in RNAcentral is "partial 16S ribosomal RNA". It matches the Rfam family "Bacterial small subunit ribosomal RNA", at positions 28 to 506 of the family's 1533-position model. The record is from RNAcentral.